CGUAGGUGGCAAGCGUUGUCCGGAUUUAUUGGGUUUAAAGGGUGCGUAGGCGGCCGCCUAAGUCAGUUGUGAAAUACCCCGGCUCAACCGGGGGGGUGCGAUUGAUACUGGGCGGCUCGAGUAACAGCGAGGUUGGCGGAAUUGACGGUGUAGCGGUGAAAUGCAUAGAUAUCGUCAAGAACACCGAUAGCGAAGGCAGCCAACUAGGGGUUAACUGACGCUGAGGCACGAAAGUGCGGGGAUCAAACAGGAUUAGAUACCCUGGUAGUCCACACUGUAAACGAUGAUUACUCGAUGUUGGCGAUAGACAGCCAGCGUCCAAGGGAAACCGAUAAGUAAUCCACCUGGGGAGUACGCCGGCAACGGUG
Molecule: ribosomal RNA, 368 nt
Filed under: uncultured organism
Description: bacterial SSU rRNA
Rfam family: Bacterial small subunit ribosomal RNA
Source: RNAcentral